RNAcentral lists this ribosomal RNA (777 nucleotides) under uncultured Neocallimastigales. Its description in RNAcentral is "partial large subunit ribosomal RNA". It matches the Rfam family "Eukaryotic large subunit ribosomal RNA", at positions 23 to 639 of the family's 3401-position model. The record is from RNAcentral. Lineage: Eukaryota; Fungi; Neocallimastigomycota; Neocallimastigomycetes; Neocallimastigales.
AGAGAGAGACAUGCGCGCAUAUCAAUAAGCGGAGGAAAAGAAACUAACUAGGAUUCCCCUCAGUAACGGCGAGUGAAGCGGGAAGAGCUCAAAUUUGAAAUCUUCAAGGUUCUACCUUGACGAAUUGUAGUUUAAAGAAGUGUUUUCUGUUGGAGGUUUUGGUAAAAGUUCUUUGGAAUAGGACAUCAUAGAGGGUGAGAAUCCCGUAUUUGACCAUUUACUUUCAGCUUUGUGAUACACUUUCAAAGAGUCGGAUUGUUUGGGAAUGCAGUCCAAAAUGGGUGGUAAAUUUCAUCUAAAGCUAAAUAUUGGCGAGAGACCGAUAGCGAACAAGUACCGUGAGGGAAAGAUGAAAAGAACUUUGAAAAGAGAGUUAAACAGUACGUGAAAUUGUCAAAAGGGAAGCGUUUGACACCAGUGUUGUUUUCUCGAAAAUCAAUUAAAAAAGGCAGGAUUUUGUGUUGUAUUGACUUUAUCAGCUUUCUGCACUCUUUUCUUGUCUUUUUUAAUGCACUUUUCGUUUAACAAGUCAACAUCAAUUUCUUUUGUUGUAAAAGGGUCAUUGGAAGGUGGCUUUCUUUUCGGAGAAAGUGUUUAUAGCCUUUGGCCUCUGCAAUCGGAGAGAUUGAGGUCUGCAGCGUAGAUCCUUCGGGGUUAGAUGCAUUUGUGCUAAGUUAUAGCCUUUCAUAGACAACUUGUCGACUAUGAUCAGUCAUGUAGCUUACUCGCUUAUGCUAUUUUACCUACGCUUAGGAUGUUGAUGUGAUACUGCGAGCA